UUGGGAGUCUGAAUUGGAAGUGUAGCUCCUGGGCUUCUUUUAGCUGAGGUCUGUGUGAGACUCAGAGGCAGUGUUUGAGGAAGUCCAGUGCCACUAACAUUGUCUGAGGAUUCCUAAACAUGGUGUGGAGAAGAUGGCAUGCAUUUCUCCUGUAGAGCAUGGGGUCCAUGCUCUCCUUCUGGAGCAGUGGAAGGAACAGGGAAGAGCUCCUGCAACGACAGACAAUUAAACCCGCUAAAAGUAGAAGGGCAGCCUGAAAGCUACAGAAGUGCUGUCUUAUGGCCUGUCACCAGAGAGCAGCCCAAAAGCCUUGGCUCAAGAGAGGUCACUGGUACUCUGUGUGUGUGUGUGCAGGACCUCAGCCUGCAGGCAGGAAGCAAAUUAAAGAAGCAAGGCUUUCUGUUCGGUGUAAUUUCAUAUCUUGGGAUGAAUGGAGUCAUUGUGGCAAUAACUAGAUUAUCUGAUUAGGAGAUGGAUCUUACUGCAGUUGUAUAGCCCCAUUUUCUAAGAGGAGUUAAUGUCUUUUGAGUUUUAUGGAUACUGCUCGUGUUUGGAGAGGCUUCUGAACAAAAAGACUGUGAUUCACUUCCUCUCAAGCUCAGUUUGGGCACUGCAGCAGUAUUGCAUACAACCUCUUGUGAUUUUCUAAAUUACUUUAAAACCUUUUAAAUCUAAGAAUGUCCCAGGCAUCUGCACUUAUUCCCAAGUUUCAAUUUGCCUCUGAGACUUAGGAUUUAUUUGAUUCCACAAAAUGGCAUCUCAGUGGUGUAAUGUGAACCUUCAGUAUUUAUUGGGAGAGUAUUUUAGCUGUCUUAAGGUGUUUUUGUUUCGUUUUGUUGAAUUACCAAAGGAAUUGUAGAAAUUUAUCAUUGCUUGACAGUGGUAGUUGUGUACACGUACAUGCCUUUUGUGAAACUUGACUGAGUCAUUGUAAAUAUUUAUGAUCUCUGUGUGAAAUGUUACUGCACUUAAGCAGUGUCCAGAUUUUUUUAAAUCAUUUUUGCCCCUGGAUAAAGAGCUAAAUCAUUGACUCUGUUAUUUUUGUAAGUAAAGAAAGAUGUAUUGUCACUUCUAAUGUACAAAAUGUUGACAUAUACUGUCUGCUUUAUUACUAAAUAGCUUUCUCCUUUUCCUCUCCAUCUUUCUAAAUGUAGC
Zonotrichia leucophrys gambelii is the source of this 1155-nucleotide long non-coding RNA. RefSeq lists it as uncharacterized. NCBI's taxonomy places the organism in Eukaryota, Metazoa, Chordata, Aves, Passeriformes, Passerellidae. The record is from RefSeq and is a predicted model, not a curated record. The transcript is spliced from 3 exons.